Elgaria multicarinata webbii is the source of this 73-nucleotide small nucleolar RNA. Lineage: Eukaryota; Metazoa; Chordata; Lepidosauria; Squamata; Anguidae. The record is from RefSeq and is a predicted model, not a curated record.
UGUGCAUGUGAUGAUGAUUUAGCGACCAAAGCCUGAUUGGUUGUGAUUGCACCUUAAGAAUGACUGAUGCACA